RNAcentral lists this ribosomal RNA (497 nucleotides) under uncultured bacterium. Its description in RNAcentral is "partial 16S ribosomal RNA". It matches the Rfam family "Bacterial small subunit ribosomal RNA", at positions 28 to 507 of the family's 1533-position model. The record is from RNAcentral.
GAUGAACGCUGGCGGCGUGCCUAAUACAUGCAAGUCGAGCGAACAGACGAGGAGCUUGCUCCUCUGACGUUAGCGGCGGACGGGUGAGUAACACGUGGAUAACCUACCUAUAAGACUGGGAUAACUUCGGGAAACCGGAGCUAAUACCGGAUAAUAUAUUGAACCGCAUGGUUCAAUAGUGAAAGACGGUUUUGCUGUCACUUAUAGAUGGAUCCGCGCCGCAUUAGCUAGUUGGUAAGGUAACGGCUUACCAAGGCGACGAUGCGUAGCCGACCUGAGAGGGUGAUCGCCCACACUGGAACUGAGAAACGGCCGAGACUCCUACGGUAGGCAGCAGUAGGGACUCUUACGCAAUGGGCGAGAGCCUGACGGAGCAACGCCGGGUGAGUGAUGAAGGUCUUCGGAUCGUAAAACUAUGUUAUUAGGGAAGAACAAAUGUGUAAGUAACUAUGCACGUCUUGACGGUACCUAAUCAGAAAGCCACGGCUAACUACGUG